CCUACGGGGUGCAGCAGUGGGGAAUAUUGGACAAUGGGCGAAAGCCUGAUCCAGCCAUGCCGCGUGUGUGAAGAAGGCCUUCGGGUUGUAAAGCACUUUCAGUGGGGAAGAAAGCCUUGGGGCUAAUACCCUCGAGGAAGGACAUCACCCACAGAAGAAGCACCGGCUAACUCCGUGCCAGCAGCCGCGGUAAUACGGAGGGUGCGAGCGUUAAUCGGAAUUACUGGGCGUAAAGCGCGCGUAGGCGGUCUGAUAAGCCGGUUGUGAAAGCCCCGGGCUCAACCUGGGAACGGCAUCCGGAACUGUCAGGCUAGAGUGCAGGAGAGGAAGGUAGAAUUCCCGGUGUAGCGGUGACAUGCGUAGAGAUCGGGAGGAAUACCAGUGGCGAAGGCGGCCUUCUGGACUGACACUGACGCUGAGGUGCGAAAGCGUGGGUAGCAAACAGGAUUAGAUACCCCGGUAGUC
This 465-nucleotide ribosomal RNA is filed under the name Vreelandella stevensii. RNAcentral's name for it is "partial 16S ribosomal RNA". It matches the Rfam family "Bacterial small subunit ribosomal RNA", at positions 338 to 795 of the family's 1533-position model. Lineage: Bacteria; Pseudomonadati; Pseudomonadota; Gammaproteobacteria; Oceanospirillales; Halomonadaceae. The record is from RNAcentral.